This 2904-nucleotide ribosomal RNA is filed under the name Escherichia coli. RNAcentral's name for it is "23S ribosomal RNA". It matches the Rfam family "Bacterial large subunit ribosomal RNA". Lineage: Bacteria; Pseudomonadati; Pseudomonadota; Gammaproteobacteria; Enterobacterales; Enterobacteriaceae. The record is from RNAcentral.
GGUUAAGCGACUAAGCGUACACGGUGGAUGCCCUGGCAGUCAGAGGCGAUGAAGGACGUGCUAAUCUGCGAUAAGCGUCGGUAAGGUGAUAUGAACCGUUAUAACCGGCGAUUUCCGAAUGGGGAAACCCAGUGUGUUUCGACACACUAUCAUUAACUGAAUCCAUAGGUUAAUGAGGCGAACCGGGGGAACUGAAACAUCUAAGUACCCCGAGGAAAAGAAAUCAACCGAGAUUCCCCCAGUAGCGGCGAGCGAACGGGGAGCAGCCCAGAGCCUGAAUCAGUGUGUGUGUUAGUGGAAGCGUCUGGAAAGGCGCGCGAUACAGGGUGACAGCCCCGUACACAAAAAUGCACAUACUGUGAGCUCGAUGAGUAGGGCGGGACACGUGGUAUCCUGUCUGAAUAUGGGGGGACCAUCCUCCAAGGCUAAAUACUCCUGACUGACCGAUAGUGAACCAGUACCGUGAGGGAAAGGCGAAAAGAACCCCGGCGAGGGGAGUGAAAAAGAACCUGAAACCGUGUACGUACAAGCAGUGGGAGCACGCUUAGGCGUGUGACUGCGUACCUUUUGUAUAAUGGGUCAGCGACUUAUAUUCUGUAGCAAGGUUAACCGAAUAGGGGAGCCGAAGGGAAACCGAGUCUUAACUGGGCGUUAAGUUGCAGGGUAUAGACCCGAAACCCGGUGAUCUAGCCAUGGGCAGGUUGAAGGUUGGGUAACACUAACUGGAGGACCGAACCGACUAAUGUUGAAAAAUUAGCGGAUGACUUGUGGCUGGGGGUGAAAGGCCAAUCAAACCGGGAGAUAGCUGGUUCUCCCCGAAAGCUAUUUAGGUAGCGCCUCGUGAAUUCAUCUCCGGGGGUAGAGCACUGUUUCGGCAAGGGGGUCAUCCCGACUUACCAACCCGAUGCAAACUGCGAAUACCGGAGAAUGUUAUCACGGGAGACACACGGCGGGUGCUAACGUCCGUCGUGAAGAGGGAAACAACCCAGACCGCCAGCUAAGGUCCCAAAGUCAUGGUUAAGUGGGAAACGAUGUGGGAAGGCCCAGACAGCCAGGAUGUUGGCUUAGAAGCAGCCAUCAUUUAAAGAAAGCGUAAUAGCUCACUGGUCGAGUCGGCCUGCGCGGAAGAUGUAACGGGGCUAAACCAUGCACCGAAGCUGCGGCAGCGACGCUUAUGCGUUGUUGGGUAGGGGAGCGUUCUGUAAGCCUGUGAAGGUGUACUGUGAGGUAUGCUGGAGGUAUCAGAAGUGCGAAUGCUGACAUAAGUAACGAUAAAGCGGGUGAAAAGCCCGCUCGCCGGAAGACCAAGGGUUCCUGUCCAACGUUAAUCGGGGCAGGGUGAGUCGACCCCUAAGGCGAGGCCGAAAGGCGUAGUCGAUGGGAAACAGGUUAAUAUUCCUGUACUUGGUGUUACUGCGAAGGGGGGACGGAGAAGGCUAUGUUGGCCGGGCGACGGUUGUCCCGGUUUAAGCGUGUAGGCUGGUUUUCCAGGCAAAUCCGGAAAAUCAAGGCUGAGGCGUGAUGACGAGGCACUACGGUGCUGAAGCAACAAAUGCCCUGCUUCCAGGAAAAGCCUCUAAGCAUCAGGUAACAUCAAAUCGUACCCCAAACCGACACAGGUGGUCAGGUAGAGAAUACCAAGGCGCUUGAGAGAACUCGGGUGAAGGAACUAGGCAAAAUGGUGCCGUAACUUCGGGAGAAGGCACGCUGAUAUGUAGGUGAAGUCCCUCGCGGAUGGAGCUGAAAUCAGUCGAAGAUACCAGCUGGCUGCAACUGUUUAUUAAAAACACAGCACUGUGCAAACACGAAAGUGGACGUAUACGGUGUGACGCCUGCCCGGUGCCGGAAGGUUAAUUGAUGGGGUUAGCGCAAGCGAAGCUCUUGAUCGAAGCCCCGGUAAACGGCGGCCGUAACUAUAACGGUCCUAAGGUAGCGAAAUUCCUUGUCGGGUAAGUUCCGACCUGCACGAAUGGCGUAAUGAUGGCCAGGCUGUCUCCACCCGAGACUCAGUGAAAUUGAACUCGCUGUGAAGAUGCAGUGUACCCGCGGCAAGACGGAAAGACCCCGUGAACCUUUACUAUAGCUUGACACUGAACAUUGAGCCUUGAUGUGUAGGAUAGGUGGGAGGCUUUGAAGUGUGGACGCCAGUCUGCAUGGAGCCGGCCUUGAAAUACCACCCUUUAAUGUUUGAUGUUCUAACGUUGACCCGUGAUCCGGGUUGCGGACAGUGUCUGGUGGGUAGUUUGACUGGGGCGGUCUCCUCCUAAAGAGUAACGGAGGAGCACGAAGGUUGGCUAAUCCUGGUCGGACAUCAGGAGGUUAGUGCAAUGGCAUAAGCCAGCUUGACUGCGAGCGUGACGGCGCGAGCAGGUGCGAAAGCAGGUCAUAGUGAUCCGGUGGUUCUGAAUGGAAGGGCCAUCGCUCAACGGAUAAAAGGUACUCCGGGGAUAACAGGCUGAUACCGCCCAAGAGUUCAUAUCGACGGCGGUGUUUGGCACCUCGAUGUCGGCUCAUCACAUCCUGGGGCUGAAGUAGGUCCCAAGGGUAUGGCUGUUCGCCAUUUAAAGUGGUACGCGAGCUGGGUUUAGAACGUCGUGAGACAGUUCGGUCCCUAUCUGCCGUGGGCGCUGGAGAACUGAGGGGGGCUGCUCCUAGUACGAGAGGACCGGAGUGGACGCAUCACUGGUGUUCGGGUUGUCAUGCCAAUGGCACUGCCCGGUAGCUAAAUGCGGAAGAGAUAAGUGCUGAAAGCAUCUAAGCACGAAACUUGCCCCGAGAUGAGUUCUCCCUGACUCCUUGAGAGUCCUGAAGGAACGUUGAAGACGACGACGUUGAUAGGCCGGGUGUGUAAGCGCAGCGAUGCGUUGAGCUAACCGGUACUAAUGAACCGUGAGGCUUAACCUU